CAAUAACAGGUCUGUGAUGCCCUUAGAUGUUCUGGGCCGCGCGCGCGCUACACUGAUGCGAUCAACGAGCCUAGCAUUGGCAGAGAGGUCCGGGUAAUCUUGCAAACCGCAUCGUGAUGGGGAUAGAUUAUUGCAAUUAUUAAUCUUCAACGAGGAAUGCCUAGUAAGCGCGAGUCAUCAGCUCGCGUUGAUUACGUCCCUGCCCUUUGUACACACCGCCCGUCGCUCCUACCGAUUGGGUGUGCCGGUGAAGCGUUCGGAUUGGUGGCCCCAAGCGGUUCGCCGCCGGGGACAACCGAGAAGUUCGUUAAACCCUCCCACCUAGAGGAAGGAGAAGUCGUAACAAGGUUUCCGUAGGUGAACCUGCGGAAGGAUC
RNAcentral lists this ribosomal RNA (376 nucleotides) under Elliptochloris marina. RNAcentral's name for it is "SSU rRNA". It matches the Rfam family "Eukaryotic small subunit ribosomal RNA", at positions 1451 to 1827 of the family's 1831-position model. The record is from RNAcentral. Lineage: Eukaryota; Viridiplantae; Chlorophyta; Trebouxiophyceae.